GAUGAAGAACGCAGCGAAAUGCGAUAAGUAAUGUGAAUUGCAGAAUUCAGUGAAUCAUCGAAUCUUUGAACGCACAUUGCGCCCGCCAGCAUUCUGGCGGGCAUGCCUGUUCGAGCGUCAUUUCAACCCUCGAGCCCCCCCGGGGGCCUCGGUGUUGGGGGACGGCACACCAGCCGCCCCCGAAAUGCAGUGGCGACCUCGCCGCAGCCUCCCCUGCGUAGUAGCACACACCUCGCACCGGAGCGCGGAGACGGUCACGCCGUAAAACGCCCAACUUCUUAGAGUUGACCUCGGAUCAGGUAGGAAUACCCGCUGAACUUAAGCAUAUCAAUAAGCUGAGGA
This 342-nucleotide unclassified non-coding RNA is filed under the name soil metagenome. Its description in RNAcentral is "partial contains 5.8S ribosomal RNA, internal transcribed spacer 2, and large subunit ribosomal RNA". The stretch from base 1 to 120 matches the Rfam family "5.8S ribosomal RNA", at positions 35 to 154 of the family's 154-position model. The record is from RNAcentral.